AUGCAAAUGAUGAGUCCCAAAUAGGACGAAAUACGCAUCCUGGAU
RNAcentral lists this non-coding RNA (45 nucleotides) under Trichobilharzia regenti. The record is from RNAcentral. Lineage: Eukaryota; Metazoa; Platyhelminthes; Trematoda; Strigeidida; Schistosomatidae.